UCUUAAUGUCAAUUUCAAUAAUAAAAUGUCAUUCAAAGUUAACAACAAUAGAAAGAGUAGAAUUCUUGUGGUGGUUGCAAAUCAUUCAAAGGCAAACGUUAGAACUAUGUUUUACUUUGAACAAAAUAAUAAUGAUGUACAAUAUGUUGUGUGAAAACAAUAUCCUCUCCUAUUACUACUACCACCUAAACAUCACGGAAGAAGUAAAAAAAUAUGACCAAAACCACCCACCACCACCAUUUUUUAACUUUCCCUUCCAUUUUUCCAUCUUGAAAAUUCAUGUCACUUCUUCCAAACAAACAAUUUUACCAAAGAAAAAAGGUGGGGAGGU
RNAcentral lists this long non-coding RNA (331 nucleotides) under Olea europaea subsp. europaea. The record is from RNAcentral. Lineage: Eukaryota; Viridiplantae; Streptophyta; Magnoliopsida; Lamiales; Oleaceae.